This 2906-nucleotide ribosomal RNA is filed under the name Enterobacter roggenkampii. RNAcentral describes it as "23S ribosomal RNA". It matches the Rfam family "Bacterial large subunit ribosomal RNA". The record is from RNAcentral. Lineage: Bacteria; Pseudomonadati; Pseudomonadota; Gammaproteobacteria; Enterobacterales; Enterobacteriaceae.
GGUUAAGCGACUAAGCGUACACGGUGGAUGCCCUGGCAGUCAGAGGCGAUGAAGGACGUGCUAAUCUGCGAAAAGCGUCGGCGAGGUGAUAUGAACCUUUGACCCGGCGAUGUCCGAAUGGGGAAACCCAGUGUGAUUCGUCACACUAUCGUUAACUGAAUACAUAGGUUAACGAGGCGAACCGGGGGAACUGAAACAUCUAAGUACCCCGAGGAAAAGAAAUCAACCGAGAUUCCCCCAGUAGCGGCGAGCGAACGGGGAGCAGCCCAGAGUCUGAAUCAGCUUGUGUGUUAGUGGAAGCGUCUGGAAAGUCGCACGGUACAGGGUGACAGUCCCGUACACGAAAGCACACAGGUUGUGAACUCGAAGAGUAGGGCGGGACACGUGGUAUCCUGUCUGAAUAUGGGGGGACCAUCCUCCAAGGCUAAAUACUCCUGACUGACCGAUAGUGAACCAGUACCGUGAGGGAAAGGCGAAAAGAACCCCGGCGAGGGGAGUGAAAAAGAACCUGAAACCGUGUACGUACAAGCAGUGGGAGCACCUUCGUGGUGUGACUGCGUACCUUUUGUAUAAUGGGUCAGCGACUUAUAUUCUGUAGCAAGGUUAACCGUAUAGGGGAGCCGAAGGGAAACCGAGUCUUAACUGGGCGUUAAGUUGCAGGGUAUAGACCCGAAACCCGGUGAUCUAGCCAUGGGCAGGUUGAAGGUUGGGUAACACUAACUGGAGGACCGAACCGACUAAUGUUGAAAAAUUAGCGGAUGACUUGUGGCUGGGGGUGAAAGGCCAAUCAAACCGGGAGAUAGCUGGUUCUCCCCGAAAGCUAUUUAGGUAGCGCCUCGUGAACUCAUCUUCGGGGGUAGAGCACUGUUUCGGCUAGGGGGCCAUCCCGGCUUACCAACCCGAUGCAAACUACGAAUACCGAAGAAUGUUAUCACGGGAGACACACGGCGGGUGCUAACGUCCGUCGUGAAGAGGGAAACAACCCAGACCGCCAGCUAAGGUCCCAAAGUCAUGGUUAAGUGGGAAACGAUGUGGGAAGGCACAGACAGCCAGGAUGUUGGCUUAGAAGCAGCCAUCAUUUAAAGAAAGCGUAAUAGCUCACUGGUCGAGUCGGCCUGCGCGGAAGAUGUAACGGGGCUAAACUAUGCACCGAAGCUGCGGCAGCGACGCUUAUGCGUUGUUGGGUAGGGGAGCGUUCUGUAAGCCGUUGAAGGUGUGCUGUGAGGCAUGCUGGAGGUAUCAGAAGUGCGAAUGCUGACAUAAGUAACGAUAAAGCGGGUGAAAAGCCCGCUCGCCGGAAGACCAAGGGUUCCUGUCCAACGUUAAUCGGGGCAGGGUGAGUCGACCCCUAAGGCGAGGCCGAAAGGCGUAGUCGAUGGGAAACAGGUUAAUAUUCCUGUACUUGGUGUUACUGCGAAGGGGGGACGGAGAAGGCUAUGUUAGCCGGGCGACGGUUGUCCCGGUUUAAGCAUGUAGGCGGAACGAUUAGGUAAAUCCGGUCGUUUUUUAACGCUGAGGUGUGAUGACGAGGCACUACGGUGCUGAAGUAACAAAUGCCCUGCUUCCAGGAAAAGCCUCUAAGCAUCAGGUAACAUCAAAUCGUACCCCAAACCGACACAGGUGGUCAGGUAGAGAAUACCAAGGCGCUUGAGAGAACUCGGGUGAAGGAACUAGGCAAAAUGGUGCCGUAACUUCGGGAGAAGGCACGCUGAUAUGUAGGUGAAGCCCCUGCGGGUGGAGCUGAAAUCAGUCGAAGAUACCAGCUGGCUGCAACUGUUUAUUAAAAACACAGCACUGUGCAAACACGAAAGUGGACGUAUACGGUGUGACGCCUGCCCGGUGCCGGAAGGUUAAUUGAUGGGGUUAGCGGCAACGCGAAGCUCUUGAUCGAAGCCCCGGUAAACGGCGGCCGUAACUAUAACGGUCCUAAGGUAGCGAAAUUCCUUGUCGGGUAAGUUCCGACCUGCACGAAUGGCGUAAUGAUGGCCAGGCUGUCUCCACCCGAGACUCAGUGAAAUUGAACUCGCUGUGAAGAUGCAGUGUACCCGCGGCAAGACGGAAAGACCCCGUGAACCUUUACUAUAGCUUGACACUGAACACUGGUCCUUGAUGUGUAGGAUAGGUGGGAGGCUUUGAAGUGUGGACGCCAGUCUGCAUGGAGCCGUCCUUGAAAUACCACCCUUUAAUGGCUGGUGUUCUAACGUAGACCCGUAAUCCGGGUUGCGGACAGUGUCUGGUGGGUAGUUUGACUGGGGCGGUCUCCUCCCAAAGAGUAACGGAGGAGCACGAAGGUUAGCUAAUCCUGGUCGGACAUCAGGAGGUUAGUGCAAUGGCAUAAGCUAGCUUGACUGCGAGAGUGACGGCUCGAGCAGGUGCGAAAGCAGGUCAUAGUGAUCCGGUGGUUCUGAAUGGAAGGGCCAUCGCUCAACGGAUAAAAGGUACUCCGGGGAUAACAGGCUGAUACCGCCCAAGAGUUCAUAUCGACGGCGGUGUUUGGCACCUCGAUGUCGGCUCAUCACAUCCUGGGGCUGAAGUAGGUCCCAAGGGUAUGGCUGUUCGCCAUUUAAAGUGGUACGCGAGCUGGGUUUAGAACGUCGUGAGACAGUUCGGUCCCUAUCUGCCGUGGGCGCUGGAGAAUUGAGGGGGGCUGCUCCUAGUACGAGAGGACCGGAGUGGACGCAUCACUGGUGUUCGGGUUGUCAUGCCAAUGGCACUGCCCGGUAGCUAAAUGCGGAAAAGAUAAGUGCUGAAAGCAUCUAAGCACGAAACUUGCCCCGAGAUGAGUUCUCCCUGAGACUUUAAGUCUCCUGAAGGAACGUUGAAGACGACGACGUUGAUAGGUCGGGUGUGUAAGCGCAGCGAUGCGUUGAGCUAACCGAUACUAAUGAACCGUGAGGCUUAACCUU